This 1236-nucleotide ribosomal RNA is filed under the name Triticum aestivum (bread wheat). RNAcentral's name for it is "partial small subunit ribosomal RNA". The record is from RNAcentral. Lineage: Eukaryota; Viridiplantae; Streptophyta; Magnoliopsida; Poales; Poaceae.
AUGUUACCUGUCCCGACCUCACAGAGAACCCCUUCACCAAAAGUCCUGAGAUCCUUUGGUCGUCGGAGAACUUCAUCCUCUUCUGUGUCCAUCUCGUCCUACCCGGCCCACCAGAGUUCUUCCUCUAUACGGUCGAAGGCCCGGAGUUCCCAGACGCCGAUGCUUAGUCUGCUUCCUGGUUUUGGCUCGUAUUGUGAUCGCGAGAUGCUAGAUCCAUACCUUAUAGGCGUCGUUCCGGACGUUGACGGCAAGGGCCACUUCUUGACCGCUUUCAAAAGGAAGGAGUCAGCGGAUUGCGAACACCACAUCUACAGGCUCGAAGGCAGUAUCGGGACCUGGAGCAAAGAGCAUCUUUUCCCAGAUUUUCCCUCCUGGGCACGUUCAGGGGUUUUUCCAGAUAAGGUGGUUGCAUUACAUCAAGAAGUGGGCUAUGUUGAUCUCUUGAAGGGGAUUCUUUUCUGCAAUGUGGUCAAAAAUCCGGUGAAGGCACGUUUCAUUCCAUUGCCGAACCUGCUACCCAACAACCAACACUACUUCUAUGAAGAAUUGCCAGGACAGGCAAUACGCGAUGUCACCUGCACUGAUGGUUAUAAAAUCGUAUGUGUUGAGCUGGAAGAUUUAUUCGGUUUCACAACCAGAAUCCCCGAUCCUGAUGUACUCUAUGAUUUUGAAGUUGAUCCAUCUGAGAAGGUGGUAAAGCGCAUGUGUGUUGGUUGGAGGCUCGUGACAUGGUAUAGGGAGAUCUUUUGGGACCAUUGGCAAAAGGUGUGUAAGAUUCAUGUUGAUGAACUUGGAGAAGUCUCCUUGCCUCCUCAUGGUAGAACAGAACCCUUGCCACCUAAGAACCUGAAACCAUCUUCUAGAGCUAAAAAGUUGCCUCUGAGCGACCUGCAAACAGCUUGUCCGAUCCUCUGUGGCGAUUAUGUUUGCCUCCUCUCCAAGUGGGACUAUCGUGAUGAUGAGGCUUGGAUUGUCACUGUUGACAUGUGGAAGAAAGCAGUGAGAGGACUGGUGCCAGUUAAAGAUGGGAUAUCCAUGCGUCUCAAUCCAGCCUACGUAUCCUGUGUGACGAAGAAUUAUCGCAAGAGUGAAUCAGAUGGACGUAGCUCUCUUGUGAAGGAUACUCCUUUUCACGGCAAACGUUGUCUGUCGCUCCUGGAAAACACUAGUAACAGUUUCCAGCCGAAGAGGACACUGAGGGGUUCGACAAUGGAACGAAGAGAACGAUAUGGUUGA